AAGUCGUAACAAGGUUUCCGUAGGUGAACCUGCGGAAGGAUCAUUAACAGAUUCUGCUAGCCAGAUAUCUUACCCCGUGUGAACUGUUCUUUAGACUUGGUGCCCAAGACUCGAGGCUCUCCGAGAGGGAGGGGCUGCUGGAGGCCUUAAAAUAGCCGACGCGUCUCUCAAGGGUGUCUCGACUCUAAGCACCAUCAUUUUUACCCUUUAACUUUGAAUGCCGAGAAACUUACAAAAGACUAGAAAACUUUUAGCAACGGAUCUCUAGGCUCUU
Molecule: unclassified non-coding RNA, 274 nt
Filed under: fungal sp.
Lineage: Eukaryota; Fungi
Description: partial internal transcribed spacer region
Rfam family: Eukaryotic small subunit ribosomal RNA (bases 1-46)
Source: RNAcentral